UUUCCGUAGGUGAACCUGCGGAAGGAUCAUUCACAAUAAGUGUUUUAUGGCACUUUUUUAAAUCCAUAUCCACCUUGUGUGCAAUGUCAGGGUUGAUUUUUCUCUCGAGAAGAUCAACCACAAACCUCAACUAUAUCUCAACUCUUUGUCUGAAAAAUAUUAUGAAUAAAACAAUUCAAAAUACAACUUUCAACAAUGGAUCUCUUGGCUCUC
Molecule: unclassified non-coding RNA, 213 nt
Filed under: plant metagenome
Description: partial contains small subunit ribosomal RNA, internal transcribed spacer 1, and 5.8S ribosomal RNA
Source: RNAcentral